UACGAAGGGGGCUAGCGUUACUCGGAAUGACUGGGCGUAAAGGGCGCGUAGGCGGUUUUUACAGUCAGGCGUGAAAUUCCUGGGCUUAACCUGGGGGCUGCGUUUGAUACGUGCAGACUAGAGUGGGGAAGAGGGUCGUGGAAUUCCCAGUGUAGAGGUGAAAUUCGUAGAUAUUGGGAAGAACACCGGUGGCGAAGGCGGCGACCUGGUCCUUGACUGACGCUGAGGCGCGAAAGCGUGGGGAGCAAACAGG
This 253-nucleotide ribosomal RNA is filed under the name uncultured bacterium. RNAcentral describes it as "partial 16S ribosomal RNA". It matches the Rfam family "Bacterial small subunit ribosomal RNA", at positions 524 to 776 of the family's 1533-position model. The record is from RNAcentral.